GGCUCGUUGGUCUAGGGGUAUGAUUCUUGCUUUGGGUGUGAGAGAUCCCGGGUCCAAAUCCCGGACGAGCCC
Molecule: transfer RNA, 72 nt
Filed under: Danio rerio (zebrafish)
Lineage: Eukaryota; Metazoa; Chordata; Actinopteri; Cypriniformes; Danionidae
Rfam family: tRNA
About the family: Transfer RNA (tRNA) molecules are approximately 80 nucleotides in length. Their secondary structure includes four short double-helical elements and three loops (D, anti-codon, and T loops).
Source: Rfam by way of RNAcentral